CGGGGUGCAGCAGGCGCGAAAACUUUGCAAUGCGGGAAACCGUGACAAGGGAACUCUGAGUGCCCGUUAAAUCGGGCUGUCCAUCGGUUUAAAUAACCGGUGAAGAAAGGGCCGGGCAAGACCGGUGCCAGCCGCCGCGGUAAUACCGGCGGCUCGAGUGGUGGCCACUAUUACUGGGCUUAAAGCGUUCGUAGCUGGUUUGUUAAGUCUCUGGGGAAAUCUUCCGGCUUAACCGGAAGGCGUCUCAGGGAUACUGGCAGACUAGGGACCGGGAGAGGUGAGAGGUACUCCAGGGGUAGGAGUGAAAUCCUGUAAUCCUUGGGGGACCACCUGUGGCGAAGGCGUCUCACCAGAACGGCUCCGACAGUGAGGGACGAAAGCUGGGGGAGCAAACCGGAUUAGAUACCCGGGUAGUCCCAGCUGUAAACGAUGUGCGUUAGGUGUAUCGGUGACCACGAGUCACCGAGGUGCCGAAGAGAAAUCGCGAAACGUACCGCCUGGGAAGUACGGUCGCAAGGCUGAAACUUAAAGGAAUUGGCGGGGGAGCAC
RNAcentral lists this ribosomal RNA (549 nucleotides) under uncultured archaeon. RNAcentral's name for it is "bacterial SSU rRNA". It matches the Rfam family "Archaeal small subunit ribosomal RNA", at positions 326 to 879 of the family's 1478-position model. The record is from RNAcentral.